Molecule: long non-coding RNA, 307 nt
Organism: Vespula pensylvanica (western yellowjacket)
Lineage: Eukaryota; Metazoa; Arthropoda; Insecta; Hymenoptera; Vespidae
Exons: 2
Source: RefSeq, a predicted model, not a curated record
CACUUCACUUUCACUAUAUACAGGUUCUAAAAGCUUUGAUUAAUAAUUCUAGAAUAUAUCGAGCGUAUCUCAUAGAAGAACUUUUUGAUAGAAAUUAGAUAUAAAAUGUUAUUUUUUUAUUUUUUGUUAUUUUUUUAAUGAUAAAAAUAUCGUUAAGUUAUUUGAGAACAAUUUUAUAAAUUUGAACUUAAUAAAGGCUAAGUAAAUUAUUUAAUCUUUGUAUCAUAACCAAUCGAACGACUAACUUCAAGAUACCAGCAGUAUCACGAGAAAAAAGUAAUAAUUACCGAGGACAAUCGUCACUAAG